CCCAGAACCCAUAGAACUUUGUCUCAUGUCUAGGGCCUCUAUUAGGUCACAAGGGGUGGGGCUAGAACCUCACCUGCCCAUAAGGCUCUGCCCAGGAAUAAUUUCCUUUUCCAGAGCCUCCCAAAGCACUAACAACUCAGAUGUCUCCUACCUUCCCUCUUAGGAAGGCAUUAAAGGGGAAGAGAGGAUGGCUUUGGCCCGCAAUAAACUGGGUUCAAAUCCCAGCUCUACCACAUAAAUAUAAAAGUUAUCUGAUGUUCAGCAUGGUAUCUCUCUGACCCUCAGUCUCUUCAUCUCCUGAGGACAAAGUUCUGGGAGAUCGGCAUUGACUAUGUAAGUAACAACAACGGCCUAAAGAAGCAACAAGAAAGGAACCGAGUGCCUGGAGAACUUCAUGGAGCAGAGCCACUUGCCUACUUUGGAUCAUCUGUCUCUAAGAGAGGGAAAUAAACAUUUCUUUUGUGUGAGCCACUGUUUUCAGUGGCCUUUUUGUUAUAUGUAGCAGCUUAGCUUGGCCCUAACUAAUAAAGGCAGACAUGUGGCUGCCUCUAUUGCAGAAGGGCUUUCUCUGUGUGAUAGGAAUGCAUCCCCCAAAUCUUCGCCAUCUGAUUGGGAAAAGAACCUGGCCCUAUAGCUCCA
Molecule: long non-coding RNA, 639 nt
Filed under: Homo sapiens (human)
Lineage: Eukaryota; Metazoa; Chordata; Mammalia; Primates; Hominidae
Description: HSALNT0389476
Source: RNAcentral